This 499-nucleotide ribosomal RNA is filed under the name uncultured Glomeromycotina. RNAcentral's name for it is "partial small subunit ribosomal RNA". It matches the Rfam family "Eukaryotic small subunit ribosomal RNA", at positions 591 to 1092 of the family's 1831-position model. The record is from RNAcentral. Lineage: Eukaryota; Fungi; Glomeromycota.
CCAAUAGCGUAUAUUAAAGUUGUUGCAGUUAAAAAGCUCGUAGUUGAAUUUCGAGACCGGUCUACUGGUCGUGCUUUUGUACGUACUGGUUUUAUCGGUUUCUCCUUUCUGACGAACUAUAAUGCCAUUAAUUUGGUGUUAUGGGGAAUCAGGACUGUUACUUUGAAAAAAUUAGAGUGUUUAAAGCAGGCUCACGCUUGAAUACAUUAGCAUGGAAUAACGGAAUAGGACGUUUGAUUCUAUUUUGUUGGUUUCUAGGAUCGACGUAAUGAUUAAUAGGGAUAGUUGGGGGCAUUAGUAUUCAAUUGUCAGAGGUGAAAUUCUUGGAUUUAUUGAAGACUAACUACUGCGAAAGCAUUUGCCAAGGAUGUUUUCAUUAAUCAAGAACGAAAGUUAGGGGAUCGAAGACGAUCAGAUACCGUCGUAGUCUUAACCAUAAACUAUGCCGACUAGGGAUCGGAUGAUGUUAAUUUUUUAAUGACUCAUUCGGCGCCUUACG